RNAcentral lists this long non-coding RNA (766 nucleotides) under Sus scrofa (pig). Its description in RNAcentral is "lncRNA (ENSSSCG00035031485.1)". The record is from RNAcentral. Lineage: Eukaryota; Metazoa; Chordata; Mammalia; Artiodactyla; Suidae.
CGUGCCACGAAGGGUGUGACACAUUCCAGCCUGGGUGGCACCCCUGUCCCUGUGUGGGGACACGACCCCCAGCAUUCAUGGGGACUGGGGACCUCACGCUCAUCCUUCCUGCCUCUAUUUCUGGGGUCAUCUUUCUCGCCUCCUGAGCGUGGCUCAUCCCCUGGCCUCUGUGCUGCUGUGGGGUCUCCCAUCCCUGCCUCUCCGACCCCCCUCUGUCUCCUUCCCAGCUCCUCCUCCUCUGCCCACCCUGUCCCUGGGGUACCUCUGGCCUCCUUUCGCCAUCUCCCUGGACACGCCAAGGACCUGCCCCUCCGCCCCCAGCGCCGACUGCGGCCUGGAGCCUUGGAUCCAGCACCUGCCUCUGGGAUGUUCCCCGGAGGCCCAGCUGAGACCCGGACCUGCCCCCCCGUCCUCCUCACUCUUCACGCAGCCGGGGGUCCAAAGGCUGCAGGACCCAAGCUCUGGAACCUUCCCACGAGCCUGCUGAGCGGGGCCCUUUGCCCCGGGGGCCCUGGCUCUGAGUUCGGGCUCCACCUCCCAGCCCCCUUCCACCACCCACGUGGCUGGCUGAGCGCCCAUCCACCUGCCCUGUGCCGCGGGCGGGGGGCUUUCAGGAGGCCCGGCUGUGCCCCAACAAUGCUGCUUUGUGCCAAGAGGGACCCAGAGCCUUGUAAAGGAGGAGCCCCUGCCACCAUCUCCCCAGUUUUGGAGGCACUUCGGGGGAGCAGGAGUUCCCAGGAUUCUUGAGGGCUGUCUGCAGCCCCUG